Molecule: microRNA precursor, 96 nt
Filed under: Loxodonta africana (African savanna elephant)
Lineage: Eukaryota; Metazoa; Chordata; Mammalia; Proboscidea; Elephantidae
Description: mir-544 microRNA precursor family
Rfam family: mir-544 microRNA precursor family
Source: Rfam by way of RNAcentral
AUUACCUGGGCAUCUGUUAAAACGCAGAUUCUGGUUCAGUAACGCUGCAGUGGGCCUGAGAUUCUGCAUUUCUAACACGGUCCCAAGUGACGUUGA